Molecule: transfer RNA, 90 nt
Filed under: Candidatus Tachikawaea gelatinosa
Lineage: Bacteria; Pseudomonadati; Pseudomonadota; Gammaproteobacteria; Enterobacterales; Enterobacteriaceae
Rfam family: tRNA
About the family: Transfer RNA (tRNA) molecules are approximately 80 nucleotides in length. Their secondary structure includes four short double-helical elements and three loops (D, anti-codon, and T loops). Further hydrogen bonds mediate the characteristic L-shaped molecular structure. tRNAs have two regions of fundamental functional importance: the anti-codon, which is responsible for specific mRNA codon recognition, and the 3' end, to which the tRNAs corresponding amino acid is attached (by aminoacyl-tRNA synthetases). tRNAs cope with the degeneracy of the genetic code in two manners: having more than one tRNA (with a specific anti-codon) for a particular amino acid; and 'wobble' base-pairing, i.e. permitting non-standard base-pairing at the 3rd anti-codon position.
Source: Rfam by way of RNAcentral
GGUGAGGUGUCUGAGUGGCUUAAGGAGCAUGUCUGGAAAACAUGUAUAUGGAAAACUACUGUAUCGAGGGUUCGAAUCCCUCUCUCACCG